AAAAAAAUAGGCAAGGAGUGCAAAGCAGGGCGGGGCGGGACCGGCUGGCGUGGUGGGGGAGUGGUGCUAGAGCCUUUGCAAAUGGGAAAGGAACCAAGACUUGGAAGAAGCGGGGAAGGAGGGAAAGAGUAGGGAACGAAAAAAAAAAAAAAAAAGAACAAGUAUGUACAAGUACCAACUCCCCAUAAUAAGGAAGACUCACCUGGGUGUGCUAAGAUUGACGAAGAACCCACAGAUUCUUGGAGACACAAGAAGAGAUGCAAAGAGCUUCACGUACAAGCAGGGUGCACCAAGCUGCUGAGGAAUAAAAGGGACAGUUGGGAUUAACCACGGCUGUAGAAUGUUUGGGUGGAACUUGAAAAAGGUUCUUAAGAAACGCUAAGUAGAUGGCUGCAGUCAAACAUGGAAAAGUUUUGACUGUAAUGCAGACAGCAAUCUCCUAGAAAAAGUCACAAAAGGUCUACGAAACACCUUCCACACUGUAGCCGAUUCUGCAGUUGACCAAGUAUGUUGAUGAACUCAAAUGAACCAGAACAUAGGUAAUAAGCUACACAUACAAACACAGUGGUGUGUACCUUUCUUCUGAUAUAUUUAAUGAACCAUCACAUCACUGUGAUCUUAGGAGAGAUAGUUGGGUAUUAUUAACCCUGUGUGAGUAUGCAAUAAACUGAGGCAUUGAAAGCUUA
Long non-coding RNA from Cavia porcellus (domestic guinea pig), 686 nucleotides. RefSeq lists it as uncharacterized. NCBI's taxonomy places the organism in Eukaryota, Metazoa, Chordata, Mammalia, Rodentia, Caviidae. The record is from RefSeq and is a predicted model, not a curated record. The transcript is spliced from 3 exons.